CCCCAAUCCGCUCGGCGGAGGCAGCCCCCACUAUCCGGCGGUUUCGGCGGACGAUGCCGGCGAGGCACUCGGCGGAGCAGAUCGCCGGAGCGGCGGACUGAAGCACCCCGACGAUGUAUAUCAGGUCCUCCGUAUCAGAUUUAAAUAUGAAGAAUACACAAAAACUUUGAUGUGUUCACAUAUCAAGGAAAGCUGAAGAAGAUGUCAAUGGUUGGCAUGAGCUCAGCAUACUCGUACUCGAGGAUAAAGUCUGUGAAAAAGUUCAUUAAUAAAGUAAUUCCUGCAAUUCCUGUUCAUUAAUUUUCGUAAAUGGAGAGAGAGAGAGAGAUGACACAGUGCCCUGCAAGUGGUCAGUUUGUCCUAACAAGCAAAGGGUGCCCCACAUGUCCACAA
This is a long non-coding RNA of Zingiber officinale, 393 nucleotides long. RefSeq lists it as uncharacterized. The transcript is spliced from 3 exons. Lineage: Eukaryota; Viridiplantae; Streptophyta; Magnoliopsida; Zingiberales; Zingiberaceae. The record is from RefSeq and is a predicted model, not a curated record.